Molecule: ribosomal RNA, 478 nt
Filed under: uncultured bacterium
Lineage: Bacteria
Description: partial 16S ribosomal RNA
Rfam family: Bacterial small subunit ribosomal RNA
Source: RNAcentral
GACGAACGCUGGCGGCGUGCUUAACACAUGCAAGUCGAACGGUAAGGCCCUUCGGGGUACACGAGUGGCGAACGGGUGAGUAACACGUGGGUGAUCUGCCCUGCACUUCGGGAUAAGCCUGGGAAACUGGGUCUAAUACCGGAUAGGACCACUGCCUGCAUGGGUGGUGGUGGAAAGCUUUUGCGGGGUGGGAUGGGCCCGCGGCCUAUCAGCUUGUUGGUGGGGUGAUGGCCUACCAAGGCGACGACGGGUAGCCGGCCUGAGAGGGUGGCCGGCCACACUGGGACUGAGAUACGGCCCAGACUCCUACGGGAGGCAGCAGUGGGGAAUAUUGCACGAUGGGCGCAAGCCUGAUGCAGCGACGCCGCGUGAGGGAUGACGGCCUUCGGGUUGUAAACCUCUUUCAGCACCGACGAAGCGCAAGUGACGGUAGGUGCAGAAGAAGGACCGGCCAACUACGUGCCAGCCGCCGCGGUAA